RNAcentral lists this ribosomal RNA (253 nucleotides) under uncultured bacterium. Its description in RNAcentral is "partial 16S ribosomal RNA". It matches the Rfam family "Bacterial small subunit ribosomal RNA", at positions 524 to 776 of the family's 1533-position model. The record is from RNAcentral.
UACGUAGGUGGCAAGCGUUAUCCGGAAUUAUUGGGCGUAAAGCGCGCGCAGGCGGUUUCUUAAGUCUGAUGUGAAAUCCCACGGCUCAACCGUGGAACCGCUGGGUAUACUGGUUGUCUUGAGCCGGCUAGGGGCGAGCGGAACAGACGGUGGAGCGGUGAAAUGCGUAGAUAUCGUCUGGAACGCCGAAGGUGAAAACAGCUCGCUGGGGCCGCGCUGACGCUGAGACACGAAAGCCAGGGGAGCGAACGGG